GCCCAGUGAGCACAGAAAAGAGAAUUUUCUGGGCCCAGCCAAACUAUCAAGUAUGAGGGUAGAAUAAGACAAUUUCAAACAAUCACAAUCUCAAAAAAAUUACUUCUCAUUUUCCUUUGUCUCAGGAAGCUACCGAAAGGGGUACUCUAUCAAAAUGAGGGAGUAAACCAAGAGGAAGGCGUGAGAUGCUGGAACCAGGAACUCCAACUGGUGUUAUGAAGGAAUAGAGGACGUUUCAUGGAUGUCAGUUCAUCAUUUCCACCAGAGUGUGAGCUCUUCUGUGGCAUCACAGUGGACGGCAAGAAACCUGGAGCUGUGCUGUGAAUGUUCCUUGAAGCAACACUCCAGGCCUGGAAAGGCAGUGCUCAUGUACCUGACCUCAAACAACCACUG
Molecule: long non-coding RNA, 393 nt
Organism: Vicugna pacos (alpaca)
Lineage: Eukaryota; Metazoa; Chordata; Mammalia; Artiodactyla; Camelidae
Source: RefSeq, a predicted model, not a curated record